Molecule: ribosomal RNA, 262 nt
Filed under: uncultured archaeon
Lineage: Archaea
Description: partial 16S ribosomal RNA
Rfam family: Archaeal small subunit ribosomal RNA
Source: RNAcentral
CAGCCGUAAACUAUGCGCGUUAGGUGUAUCGGUGACCACGAGUUACCGAGGUGCCGAAGGGAAACCGUGAAACGUGCCGCCUGGGAAGUACGGUCGCAAGGCUGAAACUUAAAGGAAUUGGCGGGGGAGCACCACAACAGGGUGGAGCCUGCGGUUUAAUUGGACUCAACGCCGGGAAGCUCACCGGAUAGGACAGCAGAAUGAUUGCCGGGCUGAAGACCCUGCAUGACUAGCUGAGAGGAGGUGCAUGGCGUCAGUGACU